This 1117-nucleotide long non-coding RNA is filed under the name Calidris pugnax (ruff). RNAcentral describes it as "lncRNA (ENSCPUG00000011213.1)". The record is from RNAcentral. Lineage: Eukaryota; Metazoa; Chordata; Aves; Charadriiformes; Scolopacidae.
GUGAUCAUUCUCAUUAGCUCACAGAGAGGCAAAAUUUUGUAUGACAAGUACAGUAUCAAAACACAAGCAUCUAGUGAUAAUGUUAGGGUGAUCCUGUAGGAUGAACAAAUGGGGUCAUCUCAGUGCUAAAAGGCUGGCACCACAGCUGGCUCACGAUCCCACUAAUAAAAAGUUGUCUUCCCUCUACAGAGAGAUCUGCAGAAGUGUCCCGCAUUCAGCAUUUCAUAGAAGAGGCAUUUGGCUCAAACUAGAGUGAAGAAAAAAUACUUUUUCUACUCGUCACAGUGUUUCCACAGACAGUGGAGAAGAAGUCUGCAGCAAUGACCAAGUCUUCACAGUUCAGUGGAUUUUUCUAAGAGUAGAGAAAAUUCCAUGUUAAAUUUAAUACUGAUGAAGUUCACAGUGUAUUUUGAGCCUCUUUUGCACCAUCGUCAUUGUUCUUCUGGCACAUCUGCUACAGAUUUGAUGUAUACAGAUGUAUCUGAGGGAAGACGGAUAGUGUAGGAGUGAAGAAGAUUUCUACAAAUGGCUCUUUAAAGCAGAGCAGGUAUACUAGGAAAAACAAAAAACAAAACAAAAACGAAAAAAACAACCGAAAAACAAAAGGACGUUUCUGAUUCUAUGACUCCCCUGAAGGAGGUUUGUGACCCCAUGGGAAGUUAGUGCUGGAGCAGGCUCCUGUGGACCCGUGAAGAGAGGAGCCCACACUGGAGCAAGUUUUGCAGCAGGACUUGUGACCCCAUGGGGAACCCACUCUGGAGCAGUAUGUUUCUGAAGGACUGCACCCUCUGGAAAGCACCCACACUGAAGCAGUUUGUGAAGAACUGCAGCCUGUGAGAAGGACCCACAUUGGAGAAGUUCAUGGAGGACUGUCUCCCGUGCUGGAGCAGGGGAAGACUGUGAGGAGUCCUCCCACUGAGGAGGAAGGAGCAGCAGAAGCAACAUGUGAUGUACUGACCGCUACCCCUGUUUGCUGUCCUCCUGUGCUGCUCAGGGGGAGAAGCUAGAGAAUUCAGGAGUGAAAUUGAGCAUGGGAAGGAGGGAGGUAGGGGUGGGGGAAGGUGUUUUAAGAUUUAGUUUUUAUUUCUCAUUAUCCUACUCUGCUUUGAUUGGUAAU